Molecule: ribosomal RNA, 789 nt
Filed under: Methanoculleus sp. enrichment culture clone L55A_9
Lineage: Archaea; Methanobacteriati; Methanobacteriota; Methanomicrobia; Methanomicrobiales; Methanomicrobiaceae
Description: bacterial SSU rRNA
Rfam family: Archaeal small subunit ribosomal RNA
Source: RNAcentral
ACUGCUCAGUAACACGUGGAUAACCUGCCCUAAGGAAGGGGAUAACCUCGGGAAACUGAGGAUAAUACCCUAUAGGUUACAGACGCUGGAAUGCCCUGUAACCGAAAGUUCCGGCGCCUUAGGAUGGAUCUGCGGCCGAUUAGGUUGUUGUUGGGGUAACGGCCCAACAAGCCGAUAAUCGGUACGGGUUGUGGGAGCAAGAGCCCGGAGUUGGAUUCUGAGACAUGAAUCCAGGCCCUACGGGGCGCAGCAGGCGCGAAAACUUUACAAUGCGGGAAACCGUGAUAAGGGAACCCCGAGUGCCUGUAUAUGCAGGCUGUCCAGGUGUCUAAAAAACACCUGAAGAAAGGGCCGGGCAAGACCGGUGCCAGCCGCCGCGGUAAUACCGGCGGCUCGAGUGGUGGCCACUUUUAUUGGGCUUAAAGCGUUCGUAACUGGGUUGUUAAGUCUCUUGGGAAAUCUGACGGCUUAACCGUCAGGCGUCUAAGAGAUACUGGCAAUCUUGGAACCGGGAGAGGUGAGGGGUACUUCGGGGGUAGGAGUGAAAUCCUGUAAUCCUCGAGGGACCACCUGUGGCGAAGGCGCCUCACCAGAACGGCUUCGACAGUGAGGGACGAAAGCUGGGGGAGCAAACCGGAUUAGAUACCCGGGUAGUCCCAGCCGUAAACGAUGCGCGUUAGGUGUAUCGGUGACCACGAGUCACCGAGGUGCCGAAGGGAAACUGUGAAACGUGCCGCCUGGGAAGUACGGUCGCAAGGCUGAAACUUAAAGGAAUUGGCGGGGGAGCAC